Non-coding RNA from Coturnix japonica (Japanese quail), 3584 nucleotides. The record is from RefSeq and is a predicted model, not a curated record. Lineage: Eukaryota; Metazoa; Chordata; Aves; Galliformes; Phasianidae.
CCUCUCUCACAAGGAGAACCGAGUCGGGCCCAUGCUCACCAAGACCAGCAGAACUCUGUUCCUGCACCUUGUGCUGGCCAGCUGAGCAUGUGCAGCACUACUGAAUGGAUGACUUCAGAAACUGCUUGACCCCAUGCUUCACCUGACAGCUGAGCUUCCCUACAUGGUCCCAAGUUUCAGAGGCACUCAAGUGGGGUGCAAAAGGAAAAGUGAUGUAGAAUGAAAACUGGAAGAAUUUCCAAGGAAAGAAAGAGUCACAGAGCCUGCAGAUGAAGACAUACCUACGUGUUAAUGAGAGACAUCUGACCAGCAGUGAUCUUGUUAGAGAGCGGUGUAGACGAGCAGUACUCCUCAAAUGCUCAAAUGUCAGGAGAGUUUGGAUUCAUCACCAAUCCCUCUGCCCGGAGACCCAGAUCAGAAGUGAUUUCAUUCAUGAAGCCUCUCUGCCAGAGCUCGUUAGUGAAGUAAGUGUUCUCUUUUCUCGUAAUAACCUGUUGCAGACAUCCCCUGUGCUCUUCAGCUUCUCCUAUUCUGUUCAUAUUCCCUUUGAGCUAAGUGCAGGUCCCUAAAAAGCCAGCCUGUUUUGUUACAUUUGCAAGGUAGGAGGCUUCAGACCUGCAGGAUGGACGCUGAGCACAAAUGUAACAGCUAAAUGGCAAGCUAGGGUGGCAGGGACAGGAGCAGGAGAUUGUACCUGCUAGUUACCAUCGAGUCUCAGGAGAGCUUUGCCAAUAAAUUCCAUUAAAAUGAGAGUUUCAGCUUUUAAAACUACAAUUCAGUGGCUUGUUACCUUAAAUAAGCUAGCAAUGACCGUAUGUUAGUCUCUGACAGGGCUACAUCUGGGUGAAAACCAUGCUGAAUUAUUUAUUUUGUCAUUAAUGUCACACAAACUGCAGUAAGGAGAAUUAUAUGGGCUGCAGAAGUGAACAGCGCUAAGCCUGAUUCAAACAAAUGGAAUUGUUAUUCUUCAACACGAGCCAUGGGUUGCAGCCUCCUAAUGCAUCUAUGAGAGGAGAAGCGAAUGGUAAAUCAAUGGAAAGGUUCACACCUGACUGACAACCUUUAAAUAAUGCAAAGGGUCCCUCAGCACAUGGCAGGGUUAUAUAAUGCAUUAGCAUUUGAAGUCAGGGAGACUUGCAGGGAAGUAUUUUGGAAGUUUUGCCUUUGUAGCUGUAGAGCUCAAAGAGCCAGAAUAACAUACCUGGAAAGAGGGAUAGAAAACUAAAACUGUGCCUGGGGAUUGAGAAUGUAAGGAUAUUUUAAUCAGUCUGAGUGAAAUUCUGUUGAAAAUCAUCAGCCUUUGGUAAGCCUGAAAGUGUCUUGUGCUGCAUGGUGCAGAGGAUACAAGGGCAUGGUUCUUUAGUUAUGCUUGGGGCAAGGAAUGGAUCCAAUGAGGUGGAACCGGGGCCAGCCUGGGAGUGGGGGUUUGGUCCUCUGGGACAUCACUGUAAACCAUUUGAUGUGUUAUUCAGUUGUGGAUUCUCAGAACAUUUGUAGGGAGGGUCAAGCAGCUUUUUGAGUUUGCGCAUGAUUUGUCUCUUUUUCCCCUCAUCUGAGAGCCAGAUAGCAUGGCUUAUGCAAUCUCAAAUUCCCCUUUGGAGGGGAAAAGCAGCAAGCAGCAGAAGAGAAAAUCAUACUUGGUGCAUCAAACUCCUGCCUUAUGCACUGAGACCCCCAGUGACAGCACAUAUUGGAUGCUACAGGUUAGCUGAUAGAGAGGGCCCAGCAUGGGCAGAUGUCUGUAGAGACAGAGUCACAGGGACAUGAGCUUUGAAUGCUUUCUGUUGUUUUCUGUGUUCUUAAUAAUCAUGAUUUUAGCAAGAAGCCCAUUGGUCCUUGCACUGUUCAACCAGGCUUUGGAUAAUCUGGAUGGACGUCUCUUAGCUGUUGAAAUAAAAUUUAGAAUACCCUGGAUGUUUACAGCUGUGUUCCCCCCAUAAAAUGAUUGCAAACACAAGCAGAAGGGUGUCAUAUAGAAACGUAUGGCUACAGAUUAUAGUCACGGUCACCCCUAGCUCUGCAUGUCUGUGUGUUGCUUUGCAUUCACUGCAGAUCUAUGCACACUGUCUUGCCCGCAGGCACCUUCUCCCUUUUCUGAAUUACGACAUGUCUAAGUUUUGCAUUUUGGAUCUGUUUGCCAUCUAUGAUAGUGAGGAGUCAUAUAUUCUACAGUGACAAACAGCAGACGGCGGAAAGAUAUUUUAAAAGUUUUCAUUUGGCUUCAAUGAGGAUAUAUCUGCCAGUUCAUGGAGGUCAGGACAGUUUGUUCUUACAGAUUGGUCUGGAAUAAGAUGUGUAUUGUAAUGGUUAGGCACAGCCUCUGACAGGACAAAUCAGUAGUGACUUCUGACAUCCAGAAACAGGGUAAUGAAGUUAAUUGCAGGUAUUUUCUCAACAGUAGAAAAGCUUUAAUUUAAAAGUAUACUGGAGGAAAUUCUGCUUGGUUUUGAUCAGGAAUACUACAAAACAAUCUUCUAAUCUGAUAACAUCAUUUGUUUUAGCCAGCUUAGACUCUUCUCUGACUUUCUGGAAGGGCUAUGCAAAGUCUCUCAUCUUUUCCCAGGCUUUCUUCUCUUUCAUCUACAAUCCACCAGUCUCUUCACUUGAUUCCAUUCUCCCAGCUGCACACUCUUAAGUUUACGUUUGAUUUUGGUGCCUCCAGGCUGUGGGAUAGAUGGUAAGCACAGCACCAGCAGUGGAGAGCUGAGUCUCUUGACCUUUUCAGUAGCCCUCUGUUUGAUGGGAUGAAGCAGCAGAUGACAGAAGCAGGACUACCUGGAUGAAAAUUGAGAGCAGCUCUGUUUAUUCUAACUAUGAAUUCUAUGUGGCAGCUUAAAAUUUCUCUCCACUAGCAGCUGCCUUUCACUAGAUUUGAUUGUUGUUUGAUUGGUUGAAUCUGACUGUUAUUUGUUUUCCUCCUAAUUUCUAUGUCACUGAGUGUACACAUCACACACCACUAACAGAUAUUUUGAUGUUUACUCUUUCUGUCCCCCCAAAGUCACAGAUAGAAGCAGCAUUGACGGAGGGGUAGGAGUGGCCCAUAGAAACCUGUUGGAAAUGCUCUAGAAGGUGAGGACUUCAGAAAUUUAACAUACAGUGUGAACAGCAGGCAUUUAGUAAUUUUUGCUGGGGAACAAGGCUACUUUUGAUUUAAUUCUGUCCCAUGAACCUCAGACAGAGUUACUGCUUCAGUUCCUCAGCUCAAGUAAGGCUUGUAGUAGAGAACUGACUCAAUAGUCUUAUGCGUGCCAUGCUGUUAUGAGCCACCUGUAUGGAAUGAACCUGAGGAUAUGGCUGCAUUACAGUAGGUAAAGCUACUGUAGGUUUUGAUCUUGCUCUAGUGCUGUUACUUUCUGGAGGAAUUAUUCAAUAUUCAUUCAGCGAUUCAUUUUCCUUUCCAAUAGAAAAUCCUGUUUGCCAUAGCAAUACCAGCAGGGACUCUGCUUCUCAAGUACAAAGCUCUCUCCUGCAGAUGCACAUUAGGAUGUAAGUUGAACUUCAGAAAUGUGUUUUAUGGCAGGAAGCUUCUAUGGUAUAAUAAGAUGACAAAUAAGGUAUGCUAUGAGCUCAUUAACUGAGACUCU